AAAAAAUCCACCACACAUGCAAGUAUAUUUGUACUUGGUGUCUAUUUAAACUUCUGCUCCGUGUCUCGGAAGCAUGUUUAGCCUUCUGAUUCUCCUUCACACUCUUUUUGUUGAAGAUUGGUGUAUGAACUCAGCAUCUGAGGUCCCUGUCCUCAAGACACUUUCUACUUACAUCUUCCUUAAGCUCUCUGAAGGCCAGCUACUCAUCUGUAUCUCCAGCACCAGGCACAUCCCAGGUUUCAAUGGAAUGAAAAGAAUUUAGAGCUGGAAAGUGGUCAAGAGCCUCAAGCCUGUUUCUGAGUGUUGGAUCAGAAUGAUGUGAAUACAGGGAGCGGUAUACAGCUGCCAAGAGGGACGGCAUCUGGCUCAUAGAGGUGUAUGUGUCUUCCAGGUCUUUACUGAAGUGCUGCCUUAUCAUUUAUCUGAAACAGUGGAUACAGAGAUAUGGAUUCGAGCACACGUACUAUUCUUUGAACGAUUACAUUGCAGAGCUACUUGGAGAUUCAAACAGCUGUCUAAAGUGUGGAUUAAGUGCUAAACAAUAACAGAUCAUCUGGAGAGUUUUGCAAACGGAACUCUCUCAUCAUCUUGAGAAAUAUCUUUCCUGGAAAGGCAGAUUCCAUUCUCCCAAUUCAAUGAGCAACUUCUCCAAAGAUGUGGUCUUCUGGAAUAUACAGAAUGAUGCGAAUAUUCUAAAGAAAUAUUGAUUGGAAAGGAUCAAACUCCUGUUUUAUAGAUUAAGAAGUGUUUUAUGCCUUCUGGACUUACAAGGACUACAAAUUAAUGUAUCCAAAUGGGUAGCUGAUAAGUGUACUUGCUUUGAUAGCUGUG
Molecule: long non-coding RNA, 831 nt
Filed under: Equus caballus (horse)
Lineage: Eukaryota; Metazoa; Chordata; Mammalia; Perissodactyla; Equidae
Description: lncRNA (ENSECAG00000046398.1)
Source: RNAcentral